Acanthosepion pharaonis is the source of this 113-nucleotide non-coding RNA. NCBI's taxonomy places the organism in Eukaryota, Metazoa, Mollusca, Cephalopoda, Sepiida, Sepiidae. The record is from the annotation of a GenBank genome assembly.
UUACGACAAUACCAGGUUGAAACACCGGUUCUCGUACAAUCAUCGAAGUUAAGCAAUGUCGUACCUGUGCAAUAAUUAGAUGGGUGACCGCUUUGGAAUACGAGGUACUGUAA